CAGAGUUGCAAAACUCCCACAACCAUCGCUGAACCUUACCAUCACAUAGUUGCUUCGGCGGCGCCGCUCCCGGGGCACACCGGAGCGGCGGCCCGCUCCGGAGGCCGGCAACCGUAGAAGACGAAACUCUUAGUAUACCAGUGACAUCUGAGUAACUAUACUAAUAAGUAA
This 171-nucleotide unclassified non-coding RNA is filed under the name soil metagenome. Its description in RNAcentral is "partial internal transcribed spacer 1". The record is from RNAcentral.